ACACCUGGCAUUACUUCUUGCAAUUACUUCAUGUUUGUGCUCACAGGAGCAAGCUAGAUUGGGAACACCCAAUGCUCAUACACAGCUGGGGAAAAGCCAGAGUACUACAAAUCCUCCUUCAGAGGUGGAUGCCAUAAAAGGAAUUGGAUUAAUCCUAAAACAGAAAUAAAAAGUUUUUCAUCGGGAAUGCUAACAUUGCACUUCCUCUCUGCAAUGACUUUCCAUGCUUAUUUUUAGGACAUGACCAGUGACAGCCCGGGCUCGCUUCUUUUCCUUCGAGAUGAUGAAUUUUAAAGCAGCGUCUUCACCGUGUCCUGCACAGCCCCUUCCAAAGGGUGAGGGAACCUUCCCUGCACGCAGUGAGGAUGAGAAGUGAUGGGGAAGAAAAUCUAAAUGCAGUCAAGGGGAGGAGAAGGGUGGUGAGAAAAUGAAU
Non-coding RNA from Anas platyrhynchos (mallard), 433 nucleotides. NCBI's taxonomy places the organism in Eukaryota, Metazoa, Chordata, Aves, Anseriformes, Anatidae. The record is from RefSeq and is a predicted model, not a curated record.